This is a non-coding RNA of Agelaius phoeniceus (red-winged blackbird), 2030 nucleotides long. NCBI's taxonomy places the organism in Eukaryota, Metazoa, Chordata, Aves, Passeriformes, Icteridae. The record is from RefSeq and is a predicted model, not a curated record.
GCCAUGAUAGCUCUCCUGGAUCUCAGAGUGGUGCUCACACACAAACACCCAUUUUUGAUGAGCAAGCUGUGAAUCAGCAGCAUUUGCUGGGAGAAUCCCUCGCUGCUCCCUCGCAGCUGCAGCCUCUCCCUCUCCUCUCCAUGGAGCCUGCAAGGACACGUUUGCUGCCACAUCCAGAAUGAUUUCUGGGCUGGUGAAAGGACAGGAGGAGCAACUCACAGUGACAGUUUGGGUGCUGGCAGCAGGACUGCGUGGCAAGGAGCACCAGCUGAGAAGAAAUUUGGGAGGUUUUGAUGCUGUGAGGAUUAAUGAGUGAAAUUAGCACCAGCCUCAUUCUCUGUGUCACAGCACAGCUCAGAACCACCAGGCAACAGGACCCAAACACCUCCAAGCUCUGCUGCCUUAUCCCCAGAAGAUUGCCCAUGUCCCAGCACAGAGUCCCCAGCACAGCCUGCAGCAGGCUCAGAGUGGGAGCUCCACCUCUGACUGAUGCACCUGGAGAUGCCACAGCCAGUGGAGAGCUGCAGGAUUCCCAGAGAGAGCACGAGAUUCCUCUCACUAAUAUUCCAGUCUUUGCCAGGAGGAUGGGAUGAAAGCUGAGGACUCCAUGACAAGCUUGGUCUACAUGCUCCAGCUAAAGAGAUGGAGACAGAAAUGGUUCACCUUGACCUGUAGAUAAAGUCAGAAUUCCCACUGUACUUAAAUCCAUGACUUCACAGCCAAAAGCCUCCCUGUCAAGCUAUCCACUGAUUCAGAAAUGAGCCACAGCAGUUUGAAUUUAGCUCUUCCCAUUUUGCAAGUGCCUUGAAACAACAGCACCUCAGACAUAUCCCACCUUUUAACAGGCUCACCAUCCCAGAGCUCCAGAUCCACGUUUUUCUUGGGAUAUGGUUUGGUUCUUUUCCUCCUGCCAGGGAAUUCCCAACCAGCAGCUGGUUCUGCACCAGUUCCUUACAUCCAUCAACUGCCUAAUUAAUCAAUGGACUUACCUCUUUCUGCUGCCACAAUAGAAUUAACCAAGUAUAAACAGAAAAAAAACACAAAAACCCACACAGACCUUCACUUACUCCUGCUGUCUUCCAAGCUAGAAUUUGCCUGGUGUGAUUUUAAACCAGACUUUAUUUGUUUUUUUUUCCUUACACCUGGGAGAAAAGUAGUUACAUCAGGCAUGCAAAGUGCCAAAAUUAGCUGGUUUGCCUAAAUGCAACACAUCAACCCAGCUGCAGCACUUCCUGAGGUACAGACUACACAGUCAGCAAGUGACACAAAAUCCUCAGUGCUUAGUUCAAGAGAAAAAGGGAGGGGAAAGAACUGUUUUACACCUCUGAGAGCACAGGAGGGGCAGAAAGGCAGGCCUGUCAUACACUAAAAGGCUCACACAGCACCACCAUCACCUUUAUAAAGGAGAUCUCCCUCUCCCUUUGUCCAAAGACCCUUUCCAAAGCUGUGGAAAGUAAUUCUGAACCACACAGAGGUCAUCAUGCAAGAGGCACCAGAGCUGGGGCCAGCUGCCAGCUCAAACAGAGAUUUCAGUCCUUGCUGCCAAAGCACAAAGAGCAACAGGCAAAGCUGCCCUGGACCCAUGAAUUUAAUGUCAACACUAAAGCAGACUAAGAGGUUGGAAUACAGAAGUGACCUUCAGGUCUCUCUGUCCACUCCAUUUCUUCUGCAAACACCAGAGGAGUGACACAACUGUCCCAAUGAAGUCAUCAGUCUGGCAGAGGCAGAGCAGGCCCCAGCACUGUGCCCUUUCUGUGCCCUUUCUGUGGUGACAGAGCAGCCCACAGCCACCUCACCCGAGACCUGUCCAAGCCACUGCAGAGCAUGGCAGCACAGCACAUAAAUCUGUCCCUUCCUUUUCAGAGAUCUGCAAGGGUUAUCCUCACCUCAGGGAAACUCUAACAACCUUUCUGCCUUCUCCAAAUCCUGGUUUUUGGGUUUUUUUUUUAAUUUGUGUGCAGAGCUCAGUCCCAGUUGCUGGUGACAGCCUGCACUGCUCAGCCCCAGCUGGAGCUCCCUGACCAGCACAA